AAAUUUCCCCCAGUGACUGGGCGGAUCAUACGAGAUACCGCUCUAUACCCUUCUGAACAUACAAUAACGUGGUUGGCGGGCGGGAAGGCCUCCGGCCGACUCCAGCCCGCUUUUGGGGCACCGCGGAAGAUAACCGCCCUGUUCAACGACGUUUCUUCUUAGUGGACAAGCAAAAAUCAAACUUUUUAACAACGGGUCUCCUGGUCCGGAUCGGUAAAGACGCCGCGAAAUGCGAAUAGUAAUUUGAAUUGCAGGAUUCAGGUAAUUCUCGAAUUCUUUGAAUGCCCAUUUGGCCCGCCAGCAAUCUGGGGGGCAAGCCUGUUCGAGCGUCAUUUCAACCCUCAAGCUCCGCUUGGCGUUGGGGCCCUACGGCUGACGUAGGCCCUCAAAGGUAGUGGCGGACCCUCUAAGGAGCCUCCUUUGCGUAGUAACUUCUGUCUCGCACUGGGUCCGGAGGGGCUUUCCGGCCGUAAACCCCCCAAUUUCAAAGGUGACCUCGAUCAGGUAGAGCCCCCUUCCU
RNAcentral lists this ribosomal RNA (520 nucleotides) under Colletotrichum sp. BUH0010. RNAcentral describes it as "eukaryotic LSU rRNA". The stretch from base 181 to 332 matches the Rfam family "5.8S ribosomal RNA". Lineage: Eukaryota; Fungi; Ascomycota; Sordariomycetes; Glomerellales; Glomerellaceae. The record is from RNAcentral.